AGACUUGCAGUCCUUCUCCACAGCUGUGUUCUUUGCCGAUCGCAGAUUGCAGUCCUUUGUGAUUCCAGGAUAAAUCCAUUUUGCUGGUAAAAUAACUGGCUGUUUCCUUGUUUUAGGUUAGCAACCCCCUCCCAAGGCCAAGGCCACACCUGCUUCAAAGCAGGCUUGAAGAGCAGACUGGAAGCCUCCUAUGACGGAAGCUAGGUUCUUUGGGACUCAGUGACCUCUGUGCUGAGUGGAUACUCCUUCAGAAAGGCUUUUCCUUUGUUCUUCCAGAGACCCAGCGCCUCGUCUGUUUCCCUACGUGUGGCUCUAGGUGGCCUGAAAAAAGCAAGUUAUCCUGACGGCAUCUUCAGCUGCACGACUUGCUGACCAGCCCCGUGCUCGGCCUGAGAGAGGGAACCUUAGUAGAGGAUGUACCGGGGCCAGAGCCGGAGAAGGACGUUUUGGACCCAUGGGCGCGCCUGUUCACAGACGCAGAGGCUCGGAGAGCCUGCGUGUCCAGGACGACGCGUAUCAGGAGAGGGGGUCCCUGGCUGUGUUCCCGCUCUGUCCUCCCUAUAGCUCCCCGCACACCCGGAUGUGGCCCCGUGGAGCCGGCCCCCGGGGGCCCGGCAGCUCUCAGAGCGUCUGAGAUGCUGGUCUCCCUGGAAGGCUGCUUCCUCUGCUCAAAGUGGCCCUCCGUUUCUCACUUUUCUGUUUCGAAGGCUGCAUACGAGUGUACCUUCGGCAUGCGUCUCUUUUGGAGAACCUGUCACCUUGAAAGUCGUGCUGCCCAUACAGCAACCCCCCCCCCCCAGCAUGGGGAGGGGCCCUUCCCAAAGCCAGUGACCAAGAAAGAAUGCUUUUCUCGCUUGCUGAAGCCGAAGCCCUUCCCAGCCUGUGGGCUCUCACUCCCUCUGCCCCGGGUUCUGACGGCUUCUGGUGACCGGCAGCCCCGUCUGUCCCUUCACGCUCUCCCCGGUGGGACCGGGGGCCUCCACGGCCUGGGCCUGCUCGUCUCGGUCUGACCUCCGGAGGUCACCUCUCAGUCGCUCUCCUGAAACCACCUGCAGGUCUCCUGGCCUUGUGGCCUUGUGGGUGAUCUCAGGGCCCCCCAUUUCUGCUCCUCCCCAUGGACUGCUCCUGGGUCCUCUUCCAGAAAGCUCUCUGAGUCUCUGCAAGUGUUGGAGGCACUGUCUCAACCAGGACCCCCUUUCUCUCCUGCCUUCAGGGACUGUCCCCAGCUGCCAGCAUGCCCACUUUAUUUGCGCUCACACGGCCUCGAGCAGGUACCCCUGCCCUCUGGUCUCCAGAGAGUGACUGUUGGGAGCAAACGUUCUUGCCACGUCCUGGCUCCUUCCAACCCGUGCGUGUGCUGCCCAUCGCUUGGCCUUCUCCCUGGCCGUGCCGCGGCCCCCGCUCUGGAUCCCGGGCCGUUCUGCCUGCGUGAGGACCUCACCGCACCAGCGGGGCCCCACCUCCUGCCCCCGUCCGUCACCCCCCUGGCUCCCCAGUCCCAGCAGAUACAGGCUCCCAAGCCUUUACCUUCGCAGGGAGCUGCGCACGUGGGCCCUUGAGCUGUCUUUUCUGAACACCGCCCUCUCACAGCCAGAGAGGAGCCAGCACACUGGUGACGGCCUGCCCCCGCUCACUCCAACUCCUCAUCCCGCAGAAAGGCCCAUCACCCAGUCACUGAAAGUGCUCCCCAGCGGAUCACCCGAGGCCCGCCAGAUCCAAAUUUAGGAAUUCUCCACAUA
Molecule: long non-coding RNA, 1739 nt
Filed under: Sus scrofa (pig)
Lineage: Eukaryota; Metazoa; Chordata; Mammalia; Artiodactyla; Suidae
Description: lncRNA (ENSSSCG00025030999.1, ENSSSCG00050066589.1, ENSSSCG00055029091.1)
Source: RNAcentral